Molecule: long non-coding RNA, 642 nt
Organism: Pogoniulus pusillus (Red-fronted tinkerbird)
Lineage: Eukaryota; Metazoa; Chordata; Aves; Piciformes; Lybiidae
Exons: 5
Source: RefSeq, a predicted model, not a curated record
AGAAGAAAGCGCAAAGUGCUACGCAGAUUUUGUGGAGCAGUGCUGGCUUUUUGCCUGCCUGGGCCUCAGAAUGAAAGGAAGAGGAGAAUAUGGUGUCCAAAUCAAGUCAGAGAUUUCGACUCUGGAUACUCUUGGGUCCAGGUGUCACAGUGAGGAUUGGAUAUACAAAAGCUCUGUUAGAGCUUUACUGAAAUCUUUAGUGCUGGGAGCCUGAUUGAAACCUUUGAUGUAGGAGGUCUAAUUUCAGAAUGACCUCAACUCCAGUGUCAUAAUUCCCAUCUGAUAAACAUGCUGCUACAGGAAGGAACCAGAGACUCUCUUCAAAAUUAGAGAAGCUGAGAGCAUUGUGAUCAGUGAUAACCAUUUUCAGCUGUUAAGAUCCAGAGAAGGGUAAGAGACAAGAAAGCAAAGCAAAUUCUGUUCUUCCUGAAAUGAUGUUAUUGUCAAAACCACCAAGUCACUACAUUUGAGUAUAUCCUGGAGAGAACAAAGUCCUACGUGUGUUUUAACAGUGCUUACUGCUGCUGUCUUCAGAAUAUCUCCUGAUAUCUUCCUCCUUCUCUCCUGUGGUAAAUUCCCUGACUGAAAGGAAAAAAACCACAUUAGUACAAAUGCUAAUAAACUGGCUCUGGUUUGCAGGAA